CGAAAACGAAUUCUCUCUUGAGUGGAUCCUGAGUACGACGGAGCACGUGAAAUUCCGUCGGAAUCUGGGAGGACCAUCUCCUAAGGCUAAAUACUCUCUAGUGACCGAUAGUGAACCAGUACCGUGAGGGAAAGGUGAAAAGUACCCCGGAAGGGGAGUGAAAGAGAACUUGAAACCGUGUGCUUACAAGUAGUCAGAGCCCGUUAAUGGGUGAUGGCGUGCCUUUUGUAGAAUGAACCGGCGAGUUACGAUCUGAUGCAAGGUUAAGCAGAAAAUGUGGAGCCGUAGCGAAAGCGAGUCUGAAUAGGGCGAAUGAGUAUUUGGUCGUAGACCCGAAACCAGGUGAUCUACCCUUGGUCAGGUUGAAGUUCAGGUAACACUGAAUGGAGGACCGAACCGACUUACGUUGAAAAGUGAGCGGAUGAACUGAGGGUAGCGGAGAAAUUCCAAUCGAACUUGGAGAUAGCUGGUUCUCUCCGAAAUAGCUUUAGGGCUAGCCUCAAGUGAUGAUUAUUGGAGGUAGAGCACUGUUUGGACGAGGGGCCCCUCUCGGGUUACCGAAUUCAGACAAACUCCGAAUGCCAAAUAAUUUAACUUGGGAGUCAGAAUGUGGGUGAUAAGGUCCAUAUUCGAAAGGGAAACAGCCCAGACCACCAGCUAAGGUCCCAAAAUAUAUGUUAAGUGGAAAAGGAUGUGGCGUUGCCCAGACAACUAGGAUGUUGGCUUAGAAGCAGC
Molecule: ribosomal RNA, 735 nt
Filed under: Staphylococcus pseudintermedius
Lineage: Bacteria; Bacillati; Bacillota; Bacilli; Caryophanales; Staphylococcaceae
Description: partial 23S ribosomal RNA
Rfam family: Bacterial large subunit ribosomal RNA
Source: RNAcentral